UUGACAUCGGGAAGAUUUCCAAAAAGAUGGAUUUAUUUUGAACUUAUCCUGAAUGAAGACUCCGGGCGCUUAAGACUGCUCCCUUUCUACUGCACCAACACGUCUAUCUGCCCUCAGUGUCUGGGCUGGUCUGAGGUUGGUCAUGUGAUCAGGGUUUACCAGAAGAGAGUCUUUCGUAGGGAUGUCAUCAAGAAGCUCCUCCCGGACCACUUCCAUGCACUCCUGCAUCGCCUCGACAAAACCCUACACGACUGUGUAAGCCCGCAUGCACGCACACACACACUCGCGCACACACACACACACACACACACACACACACACACACACACACACACACACACACACACACACACACACACACACACACAAACACACACACACACACACACACGCACACGGCCGCACGCACACAUGACCGCACGCAGCAUUCAAAUUCUAGUGUACCCUCUGCCUGCGUCUGAUUGGCUUUCCUGUUACCUGAAUUCAGGCUCAGUGUCCGAAACGCUCCAAAGAAGUCCUUCAGUUUGAGAAGAAAAUCAAGAGGUUCCUGAGGAAGAGGAGGGAGGAAGGUGUGUUCAAGGCGGUGAGAGAGUUCCCCUUCGUCCUCCGAUGGGUCGAUGAGUUGAGGGAAACUCUUCAUCAUUGUUCCUGAUGAGGGGGACUCCAGAGUCCCUGAUGAUGAAUCAUUCAAUCUAUUUAUUUUAUUAGGUUUUAAAAAGCAGUAUUCAAUAUUUUUUUAUUUAUUUUAUUUAAUUGUCAAUGAAUAAAUUAUUAUUUUUAUCGGUUCUGUAUUUAAAAGUUUUGAUACAAUACAAUUUUAUAUGAAAUACAUGCUGUUGUCUCCUUCUUCUGGCAGAACUUUGCCACUACAAGUUAUACUACAGUUUUUGCCCGUUGCUUGAACCCGUUUUGCAAAACUUUGAAACUCAACACACAAGCAAAUAAGACACAACACUUAGAAAUAUACCAUUCACAUCUGCGUCAAAUUGAAACUCUGC
This 998-nucleotide long non-coding RNA is filed under the name Gadus morhua (Atlantic cod). RNAcentral's name for it is "lncRNA (ENSGMOG00000036058.1)". Lineage: Eukaryota; Metazoa; Chordata; Actinopteri; Gadiformes; Gadidae. The record is from RNAcentral.